Molecule: long non-coding RNA, 751 nt
Filed under: Medicago truncatula (barrel medic)
Lineage: Eukaryota; Viridiplantae; Streptophyta; Magnoliopsida; Fabales; Fabaceae
Description: long non-coding RNA (MTRU_LNC002436)
Source: RNAcentral
UUGAAUCAAGUACUUUUUCAACAAAUUAUAUUUGGUCCGUCUCUUAAUAGUCUAUGGUGCCAUUUAAUUUGAGAAAGUAAACUUUUUUCCUAUCAUGGGAAAGUAAAUCUCAACCAUUAGAUUCAAGAGGAACAUUGAUUUUAUCAUAGUCUUUCUGCAUUAUAUUUUUUCCCUUUUAUCUUCAACCAUACAAUCAUCAAUCAACACAAAUAAACCCCACCAGCACCACCGAUUGGCUCAGACUAACCCAAUCUCCAACCAUAUAGAGGCAAACCAGUACAGGGUUGUGAAGGACUUUCCUUCUCACCACAGCGUAUGCGUCCAUUAAAGCAAGCACAAAACUCCAAAUGGCUUGUAAACCCAUUGCAGCUAUCAAGUAACUGCAAUAUAAAUGGAACAGUCAGCAUUAAGUAAUUCCGUAUGAAUCCAAGCAUGGUAUAUUGAAAAAACUGUUCAUCGUAUACACGCUAUAAGAGUAAAUUUCCAGACCACGAUAUUGAUAGUAAAACAGCUCGUCGUAUACAUAUUUUCAUUGCUAUAAUGGAAUCAAUAAGAGAAUGUGGUUUAUUUGUGUUGGUUGAUGAUUGUAAGGUUGAAGAUAAAGGGGAAAAAAUAUAAUGUAGAAAGACUAUGAUAAAAUCAAUGUUCCUCUUGAAUCUAAUGAUUGAGAUUUACUUUCCCAUGAUGAGAAAGAAGUUUGCUUUUCUAAAUUAAAUGACACCUUAGGUUAGAAACUUGUGUUUGAAACACC